This 303-nucleotide ribosomal RNA is filed under the name uncultured bacterium. Its description in RNAcentral is "bacterial SSU rRNA". It matches the Rfam family "Bacterial small subunit ribosomal RNA", at positions 355 to 675 of the family's 1533-position model. The record is from RNAcentral.
UCGGGAAUAUUGCGCAAUGGAGGAAACUCUGACGCAGUGACGCCGCGUGCAGGAAGAAGGUUUUCGGAUUGUAAACUGCUUUAGACAGGGAAGAUGAUGACAGUACCUGUAGAAUAAGCUCCGGCUAACUACGUGCCAGCAGCCGCGGUAAUACGUAGGGAGCAAGCGUUAUCCGGAUUUAUUGGGUGUAAAGGGUGCGUAGACGGGAGGUCAAGUUAGUUGUGAAAUCCCUCGGCUUAACUGAGGAACUGCAACUAAAACUAGCUUUCUUGAGUGCUGGAGAGGAAAGUGGAAUUCCUAGUG